AAUACCGCAUACGCCCUACGGGGGAAAGCAGGGGAUCUUCGGACCUUGCGCUAUUGGAUGAGCCUAAGUCGGAUUAGCUAGUUGGUGGGGUAAAGGCCUACCAAGGCGACGAUCCGUAGCUGGUCUGAGAGGAUGAUCAGCCACAUCGGGACUGAGACACGGCCCGAACUCCUACGGGAGGCAGCAGUGGGGAAUAUUGGACAAUGGGGGCAACCCUGAUCCAGCCAUGCCGCGUGUGUGAAGAAGGCUUUCGGGUUGUAAAGCACUUUCAGUGAGGAGGAAGGCUCAAAAGCUAAUACCUUUUGGGAUUGACGUUACUCACAGAAGAAGCACCGGCUAACUCCGUGCCAGCAGCCGCGGUAAUACGGAGGGUGCAAGCGUUAAUCGGAAUUACUGGGCGUAAAGCGCGCGUAGGUGGUUUGGUAAGCGAGAUGUGAAAGCCCCGGGCUUAACCUGGGAACGGCAUUUCGAACUGCCAGGCUAGAGUGUGGUAGAGGGUAGUGGAAUUUC
This 510-nucleotide ribosomal RNA is filed under the name Marinobacter sp. B30F. RNAcentral describes it as "bacterial SSU rRNA". It matches the Rfam family "Bacterial small subunit ribosomal RNA", at positions 165 to 670 of the family's 1533-position model. Lineage: Bacteria; Pseudomonadati; Pseudomonadota; Gammaproteobacteria; Pseudomonadales; Marinobacteraceae. The record is from RNAcentral.